CAGAGGGUGCGAGCGUUGUUCGGAAUUACUGGGCGUAAAGCGCGCGCAGGCGGCUUUUUAAGUCUGACGGUGAAAUGCCGGGGCUCAACCCCGUGCCCGCCGCGGAUACUGGGAGGCUGGAGACGAGUAGAGGCAAGCGGAAUUCCGGGUGUAGCGGUGGAAUGCGUAGAGAUCCGGAAGAACACCGGAGGCGAAGGCGGCUUGCUGGGCUCGGUCUGACGCUGAGGCGCGAAAGCGUGGGGAGCGAACAGGAUUAGAUACCCUGGUAGUCCACGCCGUAAACGAUGGGCACUAGACGCUGGUGGGAUCGACCCCUUCGGUGUCGCAGCUAACGCGAUAAGUGCCCCGCCUGGGGAGUACGGCCGCAAGGCUG
Molecule: ribosomal RNA, 373 nt
Filed under: uncultured organism
Description: bacterial SSU rRNA
Rfam family: Bacterial small subunit ribosomal RNA
Source: RNAcentral